AGCCAGCAGCCGCGGUAAUACGUAGGUGGCGAGCGUUGUCCGGAAUUACUGGGCGUAAAGGGUGCGUAGGCGGAAUAUUAAGUCAGAUGUGAAACUCCAGGGCUCAACUCUGGAACUGCAUUUGAAACUGAUAUUCUAGAGUGCAGGAGAGGAAAGCGGAAUUCCUAGUGUAGCGGUGAAAUGCGUAGAUAUUAGGAAGAACACCAGUGGCGAAGGCGGCUUUCUGGACUGUAACUGACGCUGAGGCACGAAAGCGUGGGGAGCAAACAGGAUUAGAUACCCUGGUAGUCCACGCUGUAAACGAUGAGUGCUAGGUGUAGGGGGUAUCGACACCCUCUGUGCCGCAGUAAACGCAAUAAGCACUCCGCCUGGGGAGUACGGUCGCAAGACUAAAACUUAAAGGAAUUGGCGGGGGA
Molecule: ribosomal RNA, 416 nt
Filed under: uncultured bacterium
Lineage: Bacteria
Description: bacterial SSU rRNA
Rfam family: Bacterial small subunit ribosomal RNA
Source: RNAcentral